This 4104-nucleotide long non-coding RNA is filed under the name Drosophila guanche. Lineage: Eukaryota; Metazoa; Arthropoda; Insecta; Diptera; Drosophilidae. The record is from RNAcentral.
AAUUUUUUCUUCAACUGUCAUCUACAUCUACAACACUUCUCACACCAACACGCUCCGUUAGUUCGCCGCCCUUCCCUAGACCCACACACUGCAGACUCGCGGCAGAGGCAGAGGCAGCGCCCGCACAAAAAAAAAAAACAUAUAUAAGCUGCGGGACGGGGUGGGUUAAAAGUCGGAAGAGUCAUCGCCAGGGGGAGGGCAGAGGCAGAGGCCGAGUGAAGCAGAAGCAGAAUGUGAAUGACAGAAUGUAAAAAGAACAACAAAAUCUGCGGGGCAGGGUGGGUUUAGCCACGGGAAAUUAAUUUCUUCAUUGUGGCUAUAAUAAUGAUCCAAUCGGAUCGGAAUUGUAGAUUUGGGAGGUUUUCGCCCUUUUGAGGAAGGGGAAGCGGAAGGGGGCGUGGCUCAUUCUUGAAAUACACUGGCUUCAGUGUGAGCAUACAGAAGUCCGGGUUCAAAAAUUGGGGGUCUAGCUCUUAUUGUCUCUGAGAACUAGCCGACAAACAAGACGGACAGACGGACGGACGGACAGACGGACAGACAGACAUGGCUCUAUCGUUCGUAUAUUGAUGCUGAUCAAGAAUAUAUAUACUUUAUGGGGUCGGAAACGUUUCCUUCUGUGCGUUACAUACAACCGUUAUUCAAACAAAUACAAUAUACCCUAUUUACUCUUUGAGUAGCGUGUAUAAAUAGAAAGAGUCAGGACGAAAGAGAAAGAACGAUAUAAAAUUGAAAUCAAUUGAACAUUAUUUUAUUUAUAGUCAAUUUUAAGAGCGGUAUCACAAACUGGAAGGAUACCACCGAAAGACUGCUUGUAGGCAGGCUAAUCAAACGUUAACUAGUUGUUGGAAGAGUUACCCCAGAGACAAAUGAACAUGUUGAAAUUUUAAUAAGCCAGCCUAAACGCAACCAACGAAAUUUGCUAGCCAAUUUGAAGCGGCAGCAGGGGCAACAGAGGAAGAAACCAGGCAACAGCAGCAACGAUUGCACCAGAAUCAUCAGAGCAUUUGACGAAGACGAAACUUGAAUCUGGAAUAUAUAGAGGUUGUUUGGAUGGGCCCAAUUGGUAGCAGGUUGGGGGGUCAGGAGUGGCUUAUAGAGUUCACACACUCGGAAAAACAAUGGCAUUCAAUUGGAUAUUAUAGAGAUUGAGAUGCAUGCAAUGUCUGGACUACAAAAUAGAUUACAAAAUGCUCAGAUCUAUUCCACGAUCAAGACAAAUUAGGGUCAAACUUUGCUGUACAUUAAACAGAAUAUCAAAUUAGUUUUAGUUGGAUGGGAUUCAAAAAUCUACAAAUCAAAUUUCUUUCAAAAUAUAUUUCGUUAUUUUUCUCACUGUGCAGAAACUCCCUGUACGUUGUCAGGCUGAGUCGAAGGCUCAGCUGUUGGGCGCUUUUAAUAAGGUUGCAGCCACAAAUUUUCGCGACGACGUUGACGAUGGCAUUUCAUGUUGUGCCAACGUCCAAAUUAGAAAAGUCGCAAAGAAAAGCAAAGCAAACAUCAGGCUGCCUGCCUGCCAGCCUGCAAAUGGGGUGGCAGAGACAUGGGAGGGAACAGAGGCAAGGGCUGAGACUCAGAUUUGGGGCAGUGCCAGGCAUCGGAGGAGGGUAGCAUAACCGACUGCGCCGGAAAUCAAGUGUCACGUGAUACAUGCAACAACCACGUGCGGCUAUAAAUUGCAAGUGCCGAGGCUGCAGCUGCAAUAGCAGCAGCAGCAGCAACAACAGAAACCAGAGGAAAUUCAAGAGAAACCAGCCUUCCAGCCUGAAGGACUCCUCUCCUAUCCAUCUAUGUGUGUGUGUGUUAUGUUACUAAUUAUCUGACGGAUUAGCUUAAUUGGUAACAAGUGCACUUUCAGCCAACACACUUCACAAGCGAGACUCUGCGGCCGAAGCUACUCGAGAGUGGCAUUAGCCUCCUUUUUUUUUGAUGAGAGAAGGGUCUCUCCAAAAAUGUUGGCCUCCAAGUGUACGAGUUUGUGUAGUACUUCUGCAUGUGUAUGGUAUAUAGUGUGUAUGAUGGGUAUUGGGUAUGCAGGAGCUUAGCCAGCGAGGAGGACGUUGUGGCAGCAUAGAAGUCAACAGGCCAGCUAUAAUUUUCACAGCCAAAACUGGGCUUACAAACUUUUGCGGUACACCGAGAGAGGACCCUAAAGGGUGUACUGGAGUGGGUGUGUAGGGGUGAUGGGAAAGGCACACAAAAGCGGACAGGUCAACAAGUCGGCGAGUUGGUCAGCUCCAGCUAGAGCUUCUACUGCUAGCUCCCAUUUCCCAUCUUCCAUUGCAAUCUCCAAUCUUCAGCUUAAAGCAUAGAUACGAGUAGAGGAAUGGGCCUGUUCCGGACUGGGUAACGUCAUGGUUGUGGUUCAAUUGCAGAGCUUGCACCGACGGACCUGUAGAACUGGCAAGCGUAUUAGCUAGGUAGUCACAGUUUUCGAUUCACAUUUUGGGGAUUGAAAAGUUUACUAAUUUGCGAAAAUGUAGUACUUUUUGUUGGCAAAUAAAAACGAGUAGGAACGUUUGAGAGACGCUUCGUACGAGUCACAACUUUUAAACUCAGUGUGUAUGUAUGUACAUUCACGUGUAAGUAACCUUAAUGUGCACAUAUAUACAUACAUAAUUAACCUUUUCAUUUGUUCGAAUUUAUCAUUUUCCUUUUUUCCAACAUCUGGGAUCUGCAUCUAUGUAUGUACAUCACAUCUCACACCAACACGGCCUUUUAGCUCGUCAACUUCCCCCAAAACCGCACACUGCAUGAGGCAGAGUGUGCCAGCGAAAAAGAAAGCCAACAACAAGCAAGCGUAAGAAAAGCUGCUGGAAGGGGUGAAUAAGUUUCCUCAUUCUGGCUAUAAUAAUGAUCUGAUCCCACCUUAAUUCGAGGAUCUGAAAGACAUGACUAUUCCCUGCUCCUGAAUGCCUGAAUGAAAAAUGUGAGGAAUAUUCUCUCUCAUAAAGCAUUCUCUGAAUUAUGGUAAUUAUGAUAUGAUUAAUUAUAAUGACUAGAGGAAAAUCCACAGAAUUCAGCUGCUCUAUAAUCUUGCUACCCGACACAAUGUUUCCUUAAGGAACCAAACUAACUGUUUCUGAAAGAUUUGAGGCUUAGUAAUUGUCUGAUGCUAUUGUUAUACUCGGUAUAACAAAUAGGGUACAUUGUAUUUGUGCACAAAAAUGAAUGCAUGUAGCACACAGAAGGAAACGUUUCCGACCCCAUAAAAUAUAUAUGUACUUGAUCAGCAUAAAUAGCCCAGUCAUGUAUGUUUGUCUGUCCGUCUGUCCGAUCCGUCUGUCUGUCAUUCUCUCAAUCCACACUCUGCAUCGUGCAGGGGAGCGGGGCGAGCUUGUUGGCGUGAGUAGGGAUGUAGAUGCAGGUCACAAGUGUAAAACAAAUUUAAAAUGUCAAAUGUAAAACUCGAAAAAAACGAGAUGUGACGCGUGAGACGCAUCUUACUCGUCACAACUUUUAUGCCCGGCACUCAGUCAGUGUACCUGUACCAGAAUUUUUUUUUUUUCGAAUUUUUCAUUUGACAUUUUACAUUUUUUCUUCACCUGUCAUCUACAUCUGCAUAACUUCUCACGCCAACACGCUAUUUUCACUAGAGCAGCACACUUCAGAUCCACGUCAGAGGCAGAGCCGCGGCAGAGGCAGCGGUCAGCGGCAACUGCAAAAGCAGAGAGUGAAUGAGAGAAUGUGAAAAAAAAACAACAAAAGCUGCGGGACAGGGUGGAUUUAGCCACUGCAAAUUAAUUUCUUCAUUGCGGCUAUAAUAAUGAUCCAAUUUGGUGAUCUGAUAGAUAUGGUCAUUCCCUACAGAAUGGCGUUUUUAGAUUUUAUUUAUCUUCAAAUUUGUAGAUUUAGUUUUCGCCCUUUUGCGUGGGCGGAAAGGGGCGGGGCUAAUUCUUUAAAUACACUGGUUUCAGUGUGAGCAUACGGCAGUCUGGAGCUAAAAUUUGGUGGCUCCAGCUCUUAUAGUCUCUGAGAACUAGCCGACAAACAAGACGGACAGACGAACAGACAGACAUGGCUCUAUCGACUCGUCUAUUGAUGCUGAUCAAGAAUAUAUAUACUUUAUGGGGUCGGAAACGUUUCCUUCUGUGCGUUAAAUACAAC